UACGUAGGGUGCGAGCGUUGUCCGGAAUUAUUGGGCGUAAAGAGCUUGUAGGCGGUUUGUCGCGUCUGCUGUGAAAUUUCGGGGCUCAACCCCGAACUUGCAGUGGGUACGGGCAGACUAGAGUGUGGUAGGGGAGACUGGAAUUCCUGGUGUAGCGGUGAAAUGCGCAGAUAUCAGGAGGAAGACCGAUGGCGAAGGCAGGUCUCUGGGCCACUACUGACGCUGAGAAGCGAAAGCAUGGGGAGCGAACAGG
RNAcentral lists this ribosomal RNA (253 nucleotides) under uncultured bacterium. RNAcentral's name for it is "partial 16S ribosomal RNA". It matches the Rfam family "Bacterial small subunit ribosomal RNA", at positions 524 to 776 of the family's 1533-position model. The record is from RNAcentral.